RNAcentral lists this ribosomal RNA (494 nucleotides) under uncultured bacterium. RNAcentral's name for it is "partial 16S ribosomal RNA". It matches the Rfam family "Bacterial small subunit ribosomal RNA", at positions 28 to 507 of the family's 1533-position model. The record is from RNAcentral.
GACGAACGCUGGCGGCGUGCUUAACACAUGCAAGUCGAACGGUGAAGCGUAUGUAGGUUUGGUGGGUGUGGAUGAGUGGCGAACGGGUGAGUAAAACGUGAGUAACCUGUCCCUGUGUUGUGGAUAACCGCAUGAAAGUGUGGGGAAUACGGGAGAUUUGGGGUCUGUCGCAUGAUGGGUCUGGGAAAGAUAUUGUUUCGGGGGGGGAUGGGUUCGCGGCCUAUCAGCUUGUUGGUGGGGUGAUGGCCUACCAAGGCGGUGACGGGUAGCCGGCCUGAGAGGGUGGACGGUCACACUGGGACUGAGACACGGCCCCGACUCCUAGUGGAGGCAGCAGUGAGAGAUAUGGCACAAUGGUCGCCAGCCUGAUGCAGCGACGCCGCGUAAGGGCUGCAGCCCUUCGGGUUGUGAACCUCUUUCGCCAGUCAAUCAUUCCUGCCUCGUUUGUGGGUGGGUUGACGGUAGCUGGAUAAGAAGCGCCGGCUAACUACGUG